GAGGCCUAUGAUGAUCAAUAUAUUGCCUACAUUGCUUGAUUCAGUUGUAUGAUAAGAACAUCCUUUUAUUCUGAGGCCUUC
This is a small nucleolar RNA of Phoenix dactylifera (date palm), 81 nucleotides long. RefSeq annotates it as small nucleolar RNA SNORD34. NCBI's taxonomy places the organism in Eukaryota, Viridiplantae, Streptophyta, Magnoliopsida, Arecales, Arecaceae. The record is from RefSeq and is a predicted model, not a curated record.